AGCAGCCGCGGUAAUUCCAGCUCCAAUAGCGUAUAUUAAAGUUGUUGCAGUUAAAAAGCUCGUAGUUGAAUUUCGGGGUUAGUAGGUUGGUCAUGCCUCUGGUAUGUACUGGUCUCACUGAUUCCUCCUUCCUGAUGAACCUUAAUGCCAUUAAUUUGGUGUUUUGGGGAAUUUGGACUGUUACUUUGAAAAAUUAGAGUGUUUAAAGCAAGCUAACGCUUGAAUACAUUAGCAUGGAAUAAUGAAAUAGGACGUUCGAUCCUAUUUUGUUGGUUUCUAGGAUUGACGUAAUGAUUAAUAGGGAUAGUUGGGGGCAUUAGUAUUCAAUUGUCAGAGGUGAAAUUCUUGGAUUUAUUGAAGACUAACUACUGCGAAAGCAUUUGCCAAGGAUGUUUUCAUUAAUCAAGAACGAAAGUUAGGGGAUCGAAGACGAUCAGAUACCGUCGUAGUCUUAACCAUAAACUAUGCCGACUAG
RNAcentral lists this ribosomal RNA (475 nucleotides) under uncultured Glomus. RNAcentral describes it as "SSU rRNA". It matches the Rfam family "Eukaryotic small subunit ribosomal RNA", at positions 569 to 1049 of the family's 1831-position model. The record is from RNAcentral. Lineage: Eukaryota; Fungi; Glomeromycota; Glomeromycetes; Glomerales; Glomeraceae.